GAUGAACGCUGGCGGCGUGCCUAAUACAUGCAAGUCGAGCGAACGGACGAGAAGCUUGCUUCUCUGAUGUUAGCGGCGGACGGGUGAGUAACACGUGGAUAACCUACCUAUAAGACUGGGAUAACUUCGGGAAACCGUAGCUAAUACCGGAUAAUAUUUUGAACCGCAUGGUUCAAAAGCGAAAGACGGUCUUGCUGUCACUUAUAGAUGGAUCCGCGCUGCAUUAGCUAGUUGGUAAGGUAACGGCUUACCAAGGCAACGAUGCAUAGCCGACCUGAGAGGGUGAGCGGCCACAAUGCAACUGAGACACGGUCCAGACGCCUACUGGAGGCAGCAGUAGGGAAUCUUCAGCAAUGGGCGAAUGCCUGACGAAGCAACGCCGCGUGAGUGAUGAAGGUCUUCGGAUCGUAAAACGCUGUUAUUAGGGAAGAACAUAUGUGUAAGGAACUGUGCACAUCUUGACGGUACCUAAUCAGAAAGCCACGGCUAACUACGUG
RNAcentral lists this ribosomal RNA (497 nucleotides) under uncultured bacterium. RNAcentral describes it as "partial 16S ribosomal RNA". It matches the Rfam family "Bacterial small subunit ribosomal RNA", at positions 28 to 507 of the family's 1533-position model. The record is from RNAcentral.